UACGUAGGGCGCAAGCGUUGUCCGGAAUUAUUGGGCGUAAAGGGCGCGUAGGCGGCUUGGUCAGUCAGGCGUGAAAUUCCUGGGCUUAACCUGGGGACUGCGCUUGAUACGGCCAGGCUUGAGGAUGGAAGAGGGUCGCGGAAUUCCCAGUGUAGAGGUGAAAUUCGUAGAUAUUGGGAAGAACACCGGUGGCGAAGGCGGCGACCUGGUCCAUUACUGACGCUGAGGCGCGACAGCGUGGGGAGCAAACAGG
Molecule: ribosomal RNA, 253 nt
Filed under: uncultured bacterium
Lineage: Bacteria
Description: partial 16S ribosomal RNA
Rfam family: Bacterial small subunit ribosomal RNA
Source: RNAcentral